GGAGGGAGCUAGCGUUGUUCGGAAUCACUGGGCGUAAAGGGCGCGUAGGCGGCCGAGUAAGUCGUGUGUGAAAGACCGGGGCUCAACUCCGUGUACUGCAUGCGAUACUGCCCGGCUAGAGAAAGGUAGAGGCGAGUGGAAUUCCCGGUGUAGCGGUGGAAUGCGUAGAUAUCGGGAAGAACACCUGUGGCGAAGGCGGCUCGCUGGGCCUUUUCUGACGCUGAAGUGCGAAAGCGUGGGGAGCAAACAGGAUUAGAUACCCUGGUAGUCCACGCCGUAAACGAUGGGCACUAGGCGUUGGGAGGAUUGACCCUCUCAGUGCCGUAGCUAACGCGUUAAGUGCCCCCGCCUGGGGAUACGGCCGCAAGGCUG
This 372-nucleotide ribosomal RNA is filed under the name uncultured organism. Its description in RNAcentral is "partial 16S ribosomal RNA". It matches the Rfam family "Bacterial small subunit ribosomal RNA", at positions 527 to 896 of the family's 1533-position model. The record is from RNAcentral.